RNAcentral lists this ribosomal RNA (512 nucleotides) under uncultured Pseudomonas sp. Its description in RNAcentral is "bacterial SSU rRNA". It matches the Rfam family "Bacterial small subunit ribosomal RNA", at positions 903 to 1382 of the family's 1533-position model. Lineage: Bacteria; Pseudomonadati; Pseudomonadota; Gammaproteobacteria; Pseudomonadales; Pseudomonadaceae. The record is from RNAcentral.
CGCCUUGCCAGCCCGCCUCAGAACUUAAAGGAAUUAGACGGGGGCCCGGCACAAGCGGUGGAGGCAUGUGGUUUAAUUUCGAAGCAACGCGAAGAACCUUACCAGGCCUUGACAUGCAGAGAACUUUCCAGAGAUGGAUUGGUGCCUUCGGGAACUCUGACACAGGUGCUGCAUGGCUGUCGUCAGCUCGUGUCGUGAGAUGGUUGGGUUAACGUCCCGUAACGAGCGCAACCCUUGUCCUUAGUUACCAGCACGUUAUGGUGGGCACUCUAAGGAGACUGCCGGUGACAAACCGGAGGAAGGUGGGGAUGACGUCAAGUCAUCAUGGCCCUUACGGCCUGGGCUACACACGUGCUACAAUGGUCGGUACAAAGGGUUGCCAAGCCGCGAGGUGGAGCUAAUCCCAUAAAACCGAUCGUAGUCCGGAUCGCAGUCUGCAACUCGACUGCGUGAAGUCGGAAUCGCUAGUAAUCGUGAAUCAGAAUGUCACGGUGAAUACGUUCCCGGGCCUU